AGUGAACGCUGGCGGUAGGCCUAACACAUGCAAGUCGAACGGCAGCACAGUAAGAGCUUGCUCUUACGGGUGGCGAGUGGCGGACGGGUGAGGAAUACAUCGGAAUCUACUUUUUCGUGGGGGAUAACGUAGGGAAACUUACGCUAAUACCGCAUACGACCUACGUGUGAAAGCAGGGGAUCUUCGGACCUUGCGCGAUUGAAUGGGCCGAUGUCGGAUUAGCUAGUUGGCGGGGUUAAGGCCCACCAAGGCGACGAUCCGUAGCUGGUCUGAGAGGAUGACAAGCAAAACUGGACCUGAGACACGGUCCAGACCCCUACGGGAGGCAGCGGAGGGGAAUAUUGGACAAUGGGCGCAAGCCUGAUCCAGCCAUACCGCGUGGGUGAAGAAGGCCUUCGGGUUGUAAAGCCCUUUUGUUGGGAAAGAAAAGCAGCAGGUUAAUACCCCGCUGUUCUGACGGUACCCAAAGAAUAAGCACCGGCUAACUUCGUG
Molecule: ribosomal RNA, 492 nt
Filed under: uncultured bacterium
Lineage: Bacteria
Description: partial 16S ribosomal RNA
Rfam family: Bacterial small subunit ribosomal RNA
Source: RNAcentral